This is a non-coding RNA of Podarcis lilfordi (Lilford's wall lizard), 66 nucleotides long. The record is from the annotation of a GenBank genome assembly. NCBI's taxonomy places the organism in Eukaryota, Metazoa, Chordata, Lepidosauria, Squamata, Lacertidae.
GCAUGUGUCUUGCUCAGUUGGUAAGAGCAUGGUGCUGAUAAUGCCAAGGUUCAAUCCCCAUAUGCA